Non-coding RNA from Acanthosepion pharaonis, 115 nucleotides. The record is from the annotation of a GenBank genome assembly. Lineage: Eukaryota; Metazoa; Mollusca; Cephalopoda; Sepiida; Sepiidae.
UUACGGCCAUAUCAGGUUGCAACAUCGAUUCUCAUCCGAUCACUGAAGUUAAGUAAUGUCGAAUCUGGCCAGUACUUAGAUGGGCCAACACUCGGGAAUACCAGGUACUGUAAGC